This 69-nucleotide transfer RNA is filed under the name Marmota monax (woodchuck). RNAcentral's name for it is "tRNA.Undet". Lineage: Eukaryota; Metazoa; Chordata; Mammalia; Rodentia; Sciuridae. The record is from RNAcentral.
GCUGGGGCUCAGUGGUAGAGCACUUGUCUUAGCAUGUGUGAGGCACUGGGUUCGAUUCUCAGCACUGCA